RNAcentral lists this ribosomal RNA (1450 nucleotides) under uncultured organism. RNAcentral describes it as "SSU rRNA". It matches the Rfam family "Bacterial small subunit ribosomal RNA". The record is from RNAcentral.
UGGCUCAGGAUGAACGCUUGCGGCAGGCUUAACACAUGCAAGUCGAGGGGCAGCGGGGAGUAGCAAUACUCCGCCGGCGACCGGCGCACGGGUGCGUAACGCGUAUGCAACCUACCUUUAACAGGGGCAUAACACUGAGAAAUUGGUACUAAUUCCCCAUAACAUUCGAGAAGGCAUCUUCUUGGGUUAAAAACUCCGGUGGUUAAAGAUGGGCAUGCGUUGUAUUAGCUAGUUGGUGAGGUAACGGCUCACCAAGGCAACGAUACAUAGGGGGACUGAGAGGUUAACCCCCCACAUUGGUACUGAGACACGGACCAAACUCCUACGGGAGGCAGCAGUGAGGAAUAUUGGUCAAUGGACGCAAGUCUGAACCAGCCAUGCCGCGUGCAGGAAGACGGCUCUAUGAGUUGUAAACUGCUUUUGUACUAGGGUAAACGCUUCUACGUGUAGGAGCCUGAAAGUAUAGUACGAAUAAGGAUCGGCUAACUCCGUGCCAGCAGCCGCGGUAAUACGGAGGAUCCAAGCGUUAUCCGGAUUUAUUGGGUUUAAAGGGUGCGUAGGCGGUUUGAUAAGUUAGAGGUGAAAUACCGGGGCUCAACUCCGGAACUGCCUCUAAUACUGUUGAACUAGAGAGUAGUUUGCGGUAGGCGGAAUGUAUGGUGUACCGGUGAAAUGCUUAGAGAUCAUACAGAACACCGAUUGCCAAGGCGGCUUAGCAAACUUAUAUCUGACGUUGAGGCACGAAAGCGUGGGGGGCAAACAGGAUUAGAUACCCUGGUAGUCCACGCAGUAAACGAUGAUAACUCGUUGUCGGCGAUACACAGUCGGUGACUAAGCGAAUGCGAUAAGUUAUCCACCUGGGGAGUACGUUCGCAAGAAUGAAACUCAAAGGAAUUGACGGGGGCCCGCACAAGCGGAGGAACAUGUGGUUUAAUUCGAUGAUACGCGAGGAACCUUACCCGGGCUUGAAAGUUAGUGACGAUUCUGGAAACAGGAUUUCCCUUCGGGGCACAAAACUAGGUGCUGCAUGGUUGUCGUCAGCUCGUGCCGUGAGGUGUCGGGUUAAGUCCCAUAACGAGCGCAACCCCUACCGUUAGUUGCCAUCAGGUCAAGCUGGGCACUCUGGCGGGACUGCCGGUGUAAGCCGAGAGGAAGGUGGGGAUGACGUCAAAUCAGCACGGCCCUUACGUCCGGGGCUACACACGUGUUACAAUGGUAGGUACAGAGGGCCGCUACCCCGUGAGGGGAUGCCAAUCUCGAAAGCCUAUCUCAGUUCGGAUCGGAGGCUGAAACCCGCCUCCGUGAAGUUGGAUUCGCUAGUAAUCGCGCAUCAGCCAUGGCGCGGUGAAUACGUUCCCGGGCCUUGUACACACCGCCCGUCAAGCCAUGGAAGCUGGGGGUGCCUGAAGUUCGUGACCACAAGGAGCGACCUAGGGCAAAACCGGUGACU